Molecule: non-coding RNA, 80 nt
Organism: Mucidula mucida
Lineage: Eukaryota; Fungi; Basidiomycota; Agaricomycetes; Agaricales; Physalacriaceae
Source: the annotation of a GenBank genome assembly
GGGUCAAUGGCGUAGUUGGUUAUCGCAUCUGUCUUACAAUCGUGCACAGAAGGUCCUCAGUUCGAGCCUGGGUUGACUCA